RNAcentral lists this ribosomal RNA (253 nucleotides) under uncultured bacterium. RNAcentral's name for it is "partial 16S ribosomal RNA". It matches the Rfam family "Bacterial small subunit ribosomal RNA", at positions 524 to 776 of the family's 1533-position model. The record is from RNAcentral.
GACGUAGGGGGCAAGCGUUGUCCGGAUUUAUUGGGCGUAAAGAGCGUGUAGGCGGUUCGGUAGGUCCGUUGUGAAAACUCGAGGCUCAACCUCGAGACGCCGAUGGAAACCCCCGAACUAGAGUCCGGAAGAGGAGAGUGGAAUUCCCGGUGUAGCGGUGAAAUGCGCAGAUAUCGGGAAGAACACCCGUGGCUAAGGCGGCUCUCUAGUACGGUACUGACGCUGAGACGCGAAAGCGUGGGGAGCGAACAGG